CCCUCCCUCUUUCCUCCGGCCUAACACAUGCAAGUCGAGCGCCCUUUCGGGGGAGCGGCGGCCGGGUGAGUACCGCGUGGGAAUAUGCCCUUCUCUACGGAAUAGCCUCGGGAAACUGAGAGUAAUACCGUAUACGCCCUGUGGGGGAAAGAUUUAUCGGGGAAGGAUUAGCCCGCGUUGGAUUAGGUAGUUGGUGGGGUAAUGGCCUACCAAGCCGACGAUCCAUAGCUGGUUUGAGAGGAUGAUCAGCCACACUGGGACUGAGACACGGCCCAGACUCCUACGGGAGGCAGCAGUGGGGAAUCUUAGACAAUGGGGGCAACGCUGAUCUAGCCAUGCCGCGUGAGUGAUGAAGGCCUUAGGGUUGUAAAGCUCUUUCAGCUGGGAAGAUAAUGACGGUACCAGCAGAAGAAGCCCCGGCUAACUCCGUG
RNAcentral lists this ribosomal RNA (431 nucleotides) under uncultured bacterium. RNAcentral's name for it is "partial 16S ribosomal RNA". It matches the Rfam family "Bacterial small subunit ribosomal RNA", at positions 36 to 507 of the family's 1533-position model. The record is from RNAcentral.